This 253-nucleotide ribosomal RNA is filed under the name uncultured bacterium. RNAcentral describes it as "partial 16S ribosomal RNA". It matches the Rfam family "Bacterial small subunit ribosomal RNA", at positions 524 to 776 of the family's 1533-position model. The record is from RNAcentral.
CACGUAGGGCGCAAGCGUUGUCCGGAAUCAUUGGGCGUAAAGAGCGUGUAGGCGGCCCGGUAAGUCCGCUGUGAAAGUCGGGGGCUCAACCCUCGAAUGCCGGUGGAUACUGUCGGGCUAGAGUGCGGAAGAGGCGAGUGGAAUUCCUGGUGUAGCGGUGAAAUGCGCAGAUAUCAGGAGGAACACCAAUUGCGAAGGCAGCUCGCUGGGACGUAACUGACGCUGAGACGCGAAAGCGUGGGGAGCAAACAGG